This 429-nucleotide ribosomal RNA is filed under the name Reticulitermes flavipes (eastern subterranean termite). RNAcentral describes it as "partial 16S ribosomal RNA". The record is from RNAcentral. Lineage: Eukaryota; Metazoa; Arthropoda; Insecta; Blattodea; Rhinotermitidae.
CGCCUGUUUAUCAAAAACAUCUCUUCUUGUUAGGUUUUGAAGUAUGGCCUGCCCAAUGACCUUGAAUGUUGAAGGGGCGCGGUAUUUUGACCGUGCAAAGGUAGCAUAGUCAUUAGUUCUUUAAUUGUGAUCUGGUAUGAAUGGCUUGACGAGGCAUAAGCUGUCUUAAUUUUGAAUUGUUUAUUGAAUUUGGUCUUUGAGUUAAAAUUCUUAGAUGUUUUUAUGGGACGAGAAGACCCUAUAGAGUUUGACAUUUAUUAUGGUCUUUUUCUGUUUGUGAGGGUUCACUAGGGCUGUCAUGAUAUGUUUUGUUGGGGUGAUGGGAGGGAUAUUAUUUAACCCCUCCUUUGGGUUGUUAUUUUUAUUUAUUUUUGCUUGAUCCAUUUAUUUUGAUUGUAAGAUUAAAUUACCUUAGGGAUAACAGCGUAA